Molecule: long non-coding RNA, 249 nt
Filed under: Prunus persica (peach)
Lineage: Eukaryota; Viridiplantae; Streptophyta; Magnoliopsida; Rosales; Rosaceae
Description: long non-coding RNA (PPER_LNC008298)
Source: RNAcentral
UGACUUACAAAUUGAGAAAGACAAAAGAAUAUGAUCUAAUUGAGAUUGGUUAAAGACUGUCCGAAGAUAGCAAGGGGAAAAACUCAAGGGCGGUUCGAUUAGGUUCUAUAGUGCAUGCCCACCAAAAAUGUGGGUUGGCUCUUUAUGCUAAAGUCAACUUAUAAUGUGCACCACAAUAUAUUAUAAAUUGUGUACUUGUGCUUGUCUUGUGAGAAAUGUCUAGUUGUACUUUUUGUUUCUUAUUUGUUC